Molecule: small nuclear RNA, 104 nt
Filed under: Crocodylus porosus (Australian saltwater crocodile)
Lineage: Eukaryota; Metazoa; Chordata; Crocodylia; Crocodylidae
Source: RNAcentral
GUGCUCACUUUGGCAGUGCAUAUAGUAAAACUGGAAUGAUACAGAGAUUAACAUAGCCCCUGCAAAAGGAUGACAUGCAAAUUCGUGAAGCGUUCCAUAUAAAA